RNAcentral lists this unclassified non-coding RNA (333 nucleotides) under uncultured Archaeosporaceae. RNAcentral describes it as "sequence contains 18S rRNA gene". Lineage: Eukaryota; Fungi; Glomeromycota; Glomeromycetes; Archaeosporales; Archaeosporaceae. The record is from RNAcentral. RNAcentral also lists the same sequence under 1 other name.
CCCAACUAUCCCUAUUAAUCAUUACAACGGUCCUAGAAACCAACAAAAUAGAAUCAUUGUCCUAUUCUAUUAUUCCAUGCUAAUGUAUUCCGGCAUAUGCCUGCUUUAAACACUCUAAUUUUUUCAAGGUAAAGGUCUUGGAUAUUCGCAACAUCCAAUAAAGGACAUUACGCUUCCCCAAGCGGUGAGGCCCAACCGACCAGUACUCGUUACAAGAACGGACCAAUCGGCCAAACCCAAAAUUCAACUACGAGCUUUUUAACUGCAACAACUUUAAUAUACGCUAUUGGAGCUGGAAUUACCGCGGCUGCUGGCACCAGACUUGCCCUCCAA